GAUGAACGCUGGCGGCGUGCUUAACACAUGCAAGUCGAACGGAAAGGCUCCUGCUUGCAGGGGUACUCGAGUGGCGAACGGGUGAGUAACACGUGGGUGAUCUGCCCUGCACUUCGGGAUAAGCCUGGGAAACUGGGUCUAAUACCGGAUAGGACGAUGGUUUGGAUGCCAUUGUGUAAAGUUUUGCGGUGUGGGAUGAGCUGGCGGCCUAUCAGCUUGUUGGUCGGGUAAUGGCCUACCAAGGCGUCGACGGGUAGCCGGCCUGGGAGGGUGUACGGCCACAUUGGGACUGAGGUACGGCGCAGACGCCUACGGGAGGCAGCAGUGGGGAAUAUUGCACAAUGGGCGCAAGCCUGAUGCAGCGACGCCGCGUGGGGGAUGACGGCCUUCUGGUUGUAAACUACUUUCGCUAGGGACGAAGCGCAAGUGACGGUACCUGGAGAAGAAGCACCGGCUAACUACGUG
This 465-nucleotide ribosomal RNA is filed under the name uncultured bacterium. RNAcentral describes it as "partial 16S ribosomal RNA". It matches the Rfam family "Bacterial small subunit ribosomal RNA", at positions 28 to 507 of the family's 1533-position model. The record is from RNAcentral.